RNAcentral lists this long non-coding RNA (5648 nucleotides) under Penaeus chinensis. RNAcentral's name for it is "uncharacterized LOC125045737". Lineage: Eukaryota; Metazoa; Arthropoda; Malacostraca; Decapoda; Penaeidae. The record is from RNAcentral.
UAUCAGAAAGGCAAGUCCUCCAAAUAAUUUCAGAGUUACUAUUAGCAUGAAAUAAUAUAUCUACAUUCACUAAUUCUUUAGAGGAAUAGAGUAGAAAAUGUAAUGAUUGUAUUUCUUUCUUUUGUAGAUCUGAGGUGUGAGUGGGAGCCCGGGACAAGAGCGGGCGAUGGCGGGGGCAGGAUGAGUGUGAAGGAUUCAUAGUCAUUUGGACUUCUUUGUACAAUCACGGUUUGGUUAAUUGUUAACUCUCAUUCUCUCCCUUUCUUCCGUGGAAUGGUAGAAUUUAAGGCGUGGAUUUUCACGUUGGCUGUCAAUAGUACCAGUUUUCGAUCAAUCACUUAAAUUGUUAACCUUCUUGUCUUUUAUUUCGUUUUGUUGUCAUCAUUGUCCAUAUUCGAUUAUGAAAGCGUGGUUGACUUGAGAUUGAUUACAAUGAAUGUUCAAAGUAGUUAAUGGCUUGUUUCUUAUGAUUGUGAAAGGCCAUUUUACUGUAUAAACUCUUGCUAGAGUCUUAUACAAAGAUAAAUGGAUAUACAUGAAAAUCUGUUUACUCUCUUUUAAAGAAACCAGCCCAUUUACCCUGGGAAUAUGUUAACACACACACACACACACACACACACACACACACACACACACACACACACACACACACACACACACACACACACACACACACACACGACCCCCCCCCCCCCACCUUCUUUAACAACGCUGCCAUUUCGUAAUAGUCACUUAUUCAUCAUAUCAAUUAAUUUUAGUGUUAUGGAAUCCAACUACCAGAUUUAUAGAUGUUGUAUAUGAUCUUUUUGCGAUGACUGAUGUAUUUCGUAUGUUUCAUCAAUAAUCAUAGUAGUAUUUGGUUUUCUGCUGUAAUCAUAUAUAUUUAUGGGUUAAUGUCCAAUAACUCUCAUGAGUAUUACAUAUCACGUAUCGUUCUACUGAGUAUGUAUGACUAUAACCAAAUUUAAUUAGUUUUACUGUUAGUGUUUUUAAAGAUCUUAAACAUUUCCCUCGCAUUUAAUAUCUCCAUAGCAAUGAAACUUGUCACUUCCUAAAUAUCGGUUCCUCCGGCUCUGAGCUUCGUUAUUUUGAUUAUCAUUUCAAUAUUUAGUUUCUGUUAUUGACUCUAACUAUUUAUAGCAACUGAUCGUAGUGUUAUAAAGUUAUUUUGUAAUCAAGUCCGAUGUUUUUUAGUUUCGCUUAUUCUAGCUGUUAACUUUUAUCUUUAUUCUUUACGAUUUACUCUCUUGUUUAAUCGCAAAUGAUCUUAGUUUUAUAGUGUUCAUUUGCAUUCAACUCAAAUGCGUUUCAGUGGUGGUUAUUUGAGUUUUUGUUCUUUUUAGAAAUUUAUAUACUUUUCCUCGCAAUUAUUACCACUAAUAGCGAUUUUGUUAUAUUGCCGAUUAUAAUUUUCUACCUUAUUUUUUUAAGUAUUUUUAUCACCAGUGUUAUCAGUGCCAUUAUUGUUGAUAACCUAUUCAUUGGUAAUGUUAUAACCAUAAUCAUUAUCAUUAUUACUGUUACUGCCAUCAUCAUUGUUAUCUUGAUGAUCAUUAGCAUAAUUCUUUCCAUUCUUUUUGCCGUAACGAUCAAUAUCAUUGUUACGGAAGACGGCUUGUAUCGCGCCUACAGAAAGGAGCGCCGUUUACCGUUAUCAUUAUAUUUGUCGUUAGUCUUUAAAAACGCCAAAUUUCAUUCAUUAUAAAACACAACAACACUUCCCUAUUUGUGAAUUUUCUAUGUUGUUUGAAAUCGUCACUGUUAUAUUGAACAUAUUAAUUUAUUCAUUUAUUUUUUAACAAUAGUUUCCGUAAAUAUUACAAAGCUUUUUAAAUACUGCUGGACGUAUAUUUAGAAAGAUAUAUGCGGAAUUUAAAUAUUAAUAUUCUUUUUGCUACUGAUAUAAACACAUUUCGUUGCAAGUUCUGUUAUGAAAAAUCUAUAUGUUAUGACUUUGUAACAACUAUUUUGUUGCUAAGAAAUUUUGAAUCACAUUCUUCACUUAUGAGUCUAUUCAUUUAACCAUUAAGUUUGUUUGCUUAAGUUUCACCAUUUUCGUAACAAGUAAUCUCUUUGUUAUGGAAGUCGACAUGAAUCGCGCCUACGGAAAAGAGCGCCGUUAAUCGUAAUUACUAUAUUUUUAUUAAUGAAUGUCACAUUUCAUUCAUCAUAAGAAAAAGAAAAUUUGAAAUAAAAAUAAAUGCUUUAUCCACUUAAAAUUCUUUAUUCUUAAUACUUCAAUUCUAAGUUUGUAUUUCUUAUGAUUAUUCUCAGUAUUGUUGUUUUUAUUCUCGUCGUGUUAAAGGGGCUUCCUUUAUUAUGGAACAACCCACACCUGGUCCUAAUUGUUUCGUUCUCUAUAACUGCUUUUAUGUUCAUCUAUUUGUUUUCUCAGUGUCGCCAUGUGAACCAUUUAAACAAAAAUCCUAAUUAGUAAUAUUUGUAUUUGUAUUAUAAUGAUAAUCAGCAUUUCGUAUUUUUCAACAUUUUCGUCACAAUUAAAGUCUUUGUUAUAUAACACGACUUCUGACGCGCCUACAGAAAAUCAUUAUCAUUGAUUUUAUUUUUGUCACAAACCAUUCGUUAUCGAUUAAGUGAAUAAAUAGAUUCUUUUCCAUUUAAAACCAUGACGGAAUACUGAAUUUGUAUAUCUUGUCUUUCUCAAUAUUAUUGUUACUUUCUGUUCUUAUUAACAAUAUGAAAAUCUAUAUAUUUGGUUUUUGUAACAAUAUUUUUGUUAAGAAUAUAUUAGAAUAUGUAUGUUAUGUCUUUGCAACAAUUAUUUUGUUGCUAAGAGAUUUUGAAUCCCAUCGACCUCUUCACUUAUGGGUUUCAAUAAGCAUUGAGUUUUUUUUUAUUUAACUUUUCCUUUUUCGUAGCAAUUAAUAUCCUUGUUAUGGAACACGACUUGUAUCGCGCCCACAGAAAGGAGCGCCGUUAAUCGUAAUCAUUAAUCUUUUUAUUGAUGAAUAUCAAACUUUAUUCAUUAUUAAUUAAAAAAUAUAUAUAUAUAUUUUAGGAGCAAUUUCCCAUUUAUAAAGUCAUGUCAGGCUUUACUCGUAUUCUGAUUCUUUUCGUUGUCCUUAACGGGCCUCGUUUUAACCCCUUCAAGUGAUUUCCAUUUACCUAUAAACACAUGUGCAAAUUAUAUAUCUAAGUCCUCGUAGCUCCUUUAACUCCGUUUAAUGGCGUUAGCACAAUGUUUCAUUAAUUUUAUUUUCGGUGUGACCAAUUCUCUCCUGGUUGUACUCUUCGCAAUGUUUAAUCAUAGGACAUUCGUUACCAUUACAUCAUCAGUUCUGAGGAUAAUUCACCCUGCGCUUUUCAAUUCUCGUUUCCCUUCGUCGUAAGAACUGAAUUUCUUAUGAAUCCCGACCUACUUCUCCCUUUUUUAGGAGCGUCGUUAUUCCUGUUUUUUUUUUUUUUGUUUUUUUUUCUAUUGGUCGGUCCCGUUUAUUGAAUUCCUACGCCCCAUCAUUAUCUCUUGUCAGUGUCUUUUAGAAAUGAUUAAUGCGUCUGUAUUCAUAGGCGACAAAAUUUCUUUCCAUCAUCCUCAUGACAAUUAUAUUCAUUGUGAAAUCCAAAUAUCCUUGAAAUAUUAUAGAAUAUAUAUAUUUUGUUCUGUUAAAUGUAUCAGAAUUACUGUAAGUUGAUUCAACUAUCUUAUAAAUUAGGCUGCCAUCAUAACAAUGAACUUCAUUGUUAUGAAAAAAGACUAUGAUGAGACAACAGUUUCGAAAUCCAGAUGGGUUAUGUUUGUAAUGCGUUUCCUGCAGUCGAAAAAAAUACCAUCAUCACCACCUUCAUCAUCACCAUCACCAUCACCAUCAUCACCAUCAUCAUCAUCACCAUCACCACCAUCAUCGUCAUCGUCAUCAACAUCAUCAUCAUCAACAACAACUUAUUUGUGUAUAAUUAAAGCACCAAACGUUUCACACUGUUCUAAGAUUAUCAUUUCCAUAAUAACGUUUAGAUAUAAGUUCAUCAAACCUCUGUGUAUAAUUGAUAUGAAAUGUUUUCCAACACUUAAAAAAUUGGUAUGAUGUAUGAUUUAUGUAAGAAAAUGUAAAACGUAUAUAUUUUAGGAUUUUUGUUUCUCACUAUAUAUGGAAUAAUGUGAUAUAUUAUCACAUAUCACGAUUUUGCUUCUUAUUAAAUCUUAUUCUGUAAAAACGAAACAGCUCAUUAUAGCCAUCAACAAUAGGAAGGAAUAACUGAAUACAAAUUGUCAUAUUAAAAUUAAGUUGUCGUCUUUAUAAUCUAGUGAUUGGUCACAAUUACUGUUAUAUUUCUUCAUGUAAGAAAUAAUCUUAUUUUUCUUAUUUCAAAGUAUAUUUCAUACAUUUUUAUAGCUCGAUUUUACAACUGAAUGUUAAAACAUAUUCAUAGUUUAGAUCUUAUUCAUCACUUGCGAUCUUGAUAUAAAAACGUUUAUGUUUAAUGUACAUCAUUUAUCAUUGUUAUUAAUAUAACCCUGUUGAUGUAACAUAUUUUUAAACACCUCUGUAUGGUUAAAAAAAUGCAAUCACGCACUAUUGUAUUUAUUAAGAUUUUUUAACGAUUUUUGUAUCAUGAAUAGAGGACACACGUGUCACUCGCUUCCAUGUGCUUUCUUUAAUAUUAUAUAAUUUAAAUCUCAAUAUAAAGUUUGGAAAUGUAGAUGCCAUGCCUCAAGUGUGACCUCAGUGUUUAAAUGUGACUGUUUCAAAGAUGAAUGCCAAACUUAAGUGUAACUUCAGUCUCUAAGUAAGACUUCAGUCUACAAGGGUGAUAUCAGAGGGCACAGAGUGAGACUUCAGUCUACAGGCCUUCAGGAGAGACUUCAGUUGCAUGUAGUAGAAUUCCAGAAGCCAUCUAGCAAUACCACACUCCAAGCAUGAGGCACAAACUCAAAGGGCGUCCACCAGCAGGAGAGAACACUGGGCUUUGGACAUCACGUGGGCUCGUGAGGGUCAUUAAGCUGAGACGGACAUUCAGCCUGAGGCAUCCGUCAGUGCGCCAUUUCAAGCCUAGGACAUCCAUAUGGGAGUCAGUUUCUGCCUGAGACAUCCAUUCGGACACCUGAUCAGUCUGAGAUCUGAAACGUCCUGCCUCAUUUCAGGCUGAGUCCUGCUCGGAAACUCACUUCAUAGUCUUUCACAAGUCUAGACACUUCAGUCACGGUGGUUUCUUGCCCAGCACUCCAAGGUCACCCUCAAAGAAGCAGGUCACCCCAGAGCAAAACGUGGAGACUUCAGUGUCACAUUGGGUUUCAGUCUGAGAUGUCACAUGAGAGCCUGAGAUGUUACACUCAAGAAGUUGGAAUGGGUCGUAGCUACACUUGAACGUAUCAUGUCACAUUGAUUUCGUUUAAUUAGAGUGUUUUCAAUUAAUUCACUGUGUCCUUAAUAUUCAGCUGUAGGCCGAUACAAAAUUAUCUAUCCGUGUGUGUGUAUGUGUGUGUGUGUUUGUGUGUGUGUGUGUGUGUGUGUGUGUGUGUGUGUGUGUGUGUGUGUGUGUGUGUGUGUGUGGACAUAUGUUUAUUGUAUUAUCAUUUAGUUGUAUUAUUCAGUUGUUUCAAAAAGAUCUGCCAUUUAUUAUGCUAUCUCUCAAGUUUCUUUGCUAUUUUGUAUUCCAUUAUUUACUGAGUAAAGACCAUACGUUGAAAA